This 213-nucleotide unclassified non-coding RNA is filed under the name Hevea brasiliensis (rubber tree). Lineage: Eukaryota; Viridiplantae; Streptophyta; Magnoliopsida; Malpighiales; Euphorbiaceae. The record is from RNAcentral.
GGUGAAUAGGGUUUGAUUGGAACGGAGAGAAAUGCAAGAAUUACUUGAAGCAAAUGACAAUUUAGAGGAGAAGAAGAGCUUAGGGGUCUUAGCAGAGACAGAAGAGGGCGGACAAAGGGAAGCAUAAGGCGAAGGCGAUGACGGCGGUGGCCGUUGGGACUUGCCGCCCUCCCUGAAAUUGACCCCGCAGGUACUAAUGGCUGCCAUUUCUGU